GGGGAUGCUAGGCAUCGACAGGGAGAUUGUUCAGAAUAGUUGCAUGUCGGGGAGUAUGGAGCCCGUUAAAAACUAUACAAAAUCUCAAAUGCAAAAACAUUUGGAUCAGUGGAGAGCCCUUACGCAAGUAAGGCCUUCGCUCUAGCGUAAGCUUUUAAGCUAUGGUUAGCGCCUCUUUUUUCUGGUUUCUUGGAAGAAGUAAGGUGUUAUAAAUAGAAACUAUGAUUUUGUGUCGCUCAACACAGAGUCGAGAAAAUGAGAUCGGGGAGAGUGAUUUUUACAAAUUUAUAUAUCACUCUAACUUAAAACAAAAAAAUUUGUUAAACAUGUAGAUUAUUAUUUUGUUCCUCUUUGCACGGCGGUUCAAUUCCGCCCAUCUCCACCA
RNAcentral lists this transfer-messenger RNA (385 nucleotides) under Minisyncoccota bacterium. It matches the Rfam family "transfer-messenger RNA". Rfam says of the family: Bacterial tmRNA, also known as 10Sa RNA or SsrA, is named for its dual tRNA and mRNA-like properties. Its role is to liberate the mRNA from a stalled ribosome. Lineage: Bacteria; Bacillati; Minisyncoccota. The record is from RNAcentral. RNAcentral also lists the same sequence under 1 other name.